RNAcentral lists this ribosomal RNA (251 nucleotides) under uncultured prokaryote. RNAcentral's name for it is "partial 16S rRNA". It matches the Rfam family "Bacterial small subunit ribosomal RNA", at positions 525 to 775 of the family's 1533-position model. The record is from RNAcentral.
ACAGAGGCCUCAAGCGUUGUUCGGAUUUACUGGGCGUAAAGGGUGCGUAGGAGGCCCGUUGUGUCAGCUGUGAAAUGCCGGGGCUCAACCCCGGCAAUGCAGAUGAAACUGGCGGUCUGGAGCGCCGGAGGGGUCGCUGGAAUUCCCGUAGUGGCGGUGAAAGGCAAUGCCAAUGGUAGGCGUACCAAUGGCCGUGGCAAGCGACUGGUAGGCCUUGGAGUCUGAGGCACGAAGGCUGAUGGAUCACACAG